Molecule: ribosomal RNA, 1595 nt
Filed under: Colacium sp.
Lineage: Eukaryota; Euglenozoa; Euglenophyceae; Euglenales; Euglenaceae
Description: SSU rRNA
Rfam family: Eukaryotic small subunit ribosomal RNA
Source: RNAcentral
AUGUCUCAGCGCAAACGGUUCAACAGUGGGUCUGUGAAUGGCUCCUUACAUCAGCAGUCAUCCAAGUGGUAAAGUGUGGCUAGCGCACCUGCCAAGCGCUCAUUGGACAUCCUCCAAAACCUGGUGGCUAAUACACGGAAGAUCAGGUCCGCCACGUCACGUUUGUCGGCAUUCCAUGCUGCCUCACGGCGGUGGAUUGCGCCCAGCUGUUUGGAAGACCAGCGCCUGGGAAAGGCAGUGUGUCAUGGCUGAAUCAGGCUGGUCCCCACGGGACAGUCGCGCUGGCAGAGUGAAGGCUUCGGCCUACAUUGCUUGACCACAGGAACUUCUGACCUAUCAGCUUUGAUUGUGGUGUAGUGGACCACAAUGGCAUUGACGGGUAACGGAGAAUUUGGGUUCGAUUCCGGAGAGGGAGCCUGAGAGACGGCUACCACUACCAAGGUGGGCAGCAGGCGCGCAAAUUGCCCAAUGCAAAGACAUCUUUGUGAGGCAGCGACGAACCGCAACAAUCCUGUUGGCUACAUCAACCAGCAGGACUUGUAAUGGAUGCUAUCCAAAAACAGUCAUGAGUAUCAACUGGAGGGCAAGUCUGGUGCCAGCAGCUGCGGUAAUUCCAGCUCCAAGGGCGUAUGCUAACAUUGCUGCGGUUAAAACACUUGUAGUCUGCCACAGGGGCCAGGUCUGCUGGGUGGCUGGUGCACCGCCCUCGGGUGGUGUGCUGGAUACAACCCCCAGCAGUAUGUCCUGGUCCCGAUCUCAUGACGGUGCGAUCUGCUCCUGCUCGAAGUCCCCUUCAGUGGGGGCCAAGGCGGUUUCAACACCCAACACGUGUGGCGACACCAAGGGGACGUGGCCUCGUGCCACGCAACAACCCCUGUCCACCACCGGAGUCCACCGUUGCUGUCACCGUGGAAAACUCAGUGUGCUCAAAGCAUUCAGAUUGACUGGAUGUCCAUCCAUGGAAUGUCAAAGCAUCGACCAAGUGUGGCCAUGGAGUUGUGCUGGCCUUGGAGCUCACUCUGGAGAAUGUGGUGCUGCACUGCGGUGGCAAGGGCCCUCGGGAUUCCUGCCGUCGGAGUUGCAGUACUGAUCGGAGACGAUGGGACCGCUCGAGGUGAAAGGUAUUGCAACGCCAGAGGUGAAAUUCUUAGACCGUUGCAAGACCAACGGCAGCGAAGGCGUUCUGCAAGUGCGUGUUCGUCGAUCAAGAAUGAGAGCGUGGGGAGCGAAGAUGAUCAGACACCGUCGUAGUCCACAGCUGUAAACUAUGCCAGCUCGGCCUCAGUAGAGCAAGUUCACGGACUCUAUUGGUGCCAAUCCCUCCACAACGAGAAAUCCAAGCCUUUGGGUUCCGGGGGGAGUACGGUCGCAAGGCUGAAACUUAAAGGAAUUGACGGAAUGGCACCACAAGGCGUGGAGUAUGCGGCUUAAUUUGACUCAACACGGGGAAUGUUACCAGGUCAGGACGUUGCUGGGAUGGACAGAUUGAGAGCUCUUUCUUGAUCCUUCGGAUGGUGGUGCAUGGCCGCUCCUGAUUGGUGGAGUGAUUUGUCUGGUUGAUUCCGAUAACGAGUGAGACAUCUGCCUCCCAAUAG